GGCCAAAUAGCUCAGUUGGUUAGAGCAUUGUCUCAAUAUGCCAAGGUUGUGGGUUCGAUCCCCAGUCAGGUCA
Non-coding RNA from Myotis brandtii (Brandt's bat), 73 nucleotides. The record is from Rfam. NCBI's taxonomy places the organism in Eukaryota, Metazoa, Chordata, Mammalia, Chiroptera, Vespertilionidae.